AAACGAAACCCCUCAUUUGAAAACGGCACUACUACGUUCACUUACCAAAAGCACCCAACAAAAAGAAAAAAGCUCUUUCCAAUCUCUCUUUCUCCAGAUUCAACCGAUCCAUCAAGGCUUUCAAGAAAAAAGGCCUCACAAAAGAGUCCAUUUUCUUCUCAGCUUCCAACCGAGUCACUGUUUAAAGCUUGAAGAGUCUUUGAUUUUAAUCUUAGGAAGAAAAUGAUGUCUCUAACUCCAGAUCAGUUUAGAAAAGUAGGGUUGGGAGUGACGCCAUCUCCAUCUCCGUUCCUGACACCUCGCCCAGAGAGGCGCCGCCCAGAAUCGAGAGGUUCCGAUUGGAACAAUAACCGUCAUGACAGAGACAAAGAGGUUAAUGUUCAAGUUCUGCUCCGAUGCAGGCCACUCAGUGAUGAAGAGCAAAGGACGAACAUUCCAAAAGUGAUAUCAUGUAAUGAACAUAAGAAAGAAGUCACUGUUUUGCAAAGUGUAGCUAACAAACAAGUAGAUAGAGUUUUCACCUUUGAUAAGGUUUUUGGGCCAAAAGCACAACAGAGAUCAAUCUAUGAUCAAGCCAUUGCACCUAUCGUUAAUGAAGUUCUUGAGGGUUUUAACUGCACAGUCUUUGCAUAUGGGCAGACAGGUACUGGAAAAACCUAUACAAUGGAAGGUGGAAUGAGAAACAAGGGUGGGGAUUUGCCUGCUGAGGCUGGUGUUAUUCCACGAGCAGUUCGCCAAAUUUUUGAUACACUAGAGGCCCAAAAUGCUGACUACAGCAUGAAAGUGACUUUUUUGGAACUUUACAAUGAAGAAAUAACUGAUUUACUAGCUCCGGAAGACACUUUGAGGUGUACAGACGAUAGGCAAAAGAAACCCAUUUCUUUGAUGGAGGAUGGGAAGGGUUGCGUGGUUGUUAGAGGCCUUGAAGAAGAAGCUGUGUACAGUGCGAAUGAAAUUUAUACUUUGUUAGAACGAGGAGCAGCCAAAAGGCGUACAGCAGAUACUUUGUUAAACAAGCGGAGCAGUCGCUCUCAUUCUGUCUUUUCCAUUACUGUCCAUGUAAAAGAGGCCUCCGUUGGCGAUGAGGAACUAAUUAAAUGCGGCAAGCUUAACCUUGUUGAUUUGGCAGGAUCAGAGAAUAUAUCUCGUUCAGGUGCAAGAGAGGGACGUGCAAGAGAAGCCGGGGAAAUUAACAAGAGCCUUCUAACUCUGGGCCGUGUUAUAAAUGCACUUGUGGAACGUUCAGCCCAUAUACCUUACAGGGAUAGUAAGUUGACAAGGCUAUUAAGAGACUCCUUGGGAGGAAAGACAAAAACUUGCAUCAUCGCUACAAUUUCUCCUUCCGCUCAUUCUCUGGAAGAAACAUUAAGCACACUAGAUUAUGCAUACCGUGCUAAAAACAUCAAAAACAAACCAGAGGCAAACCAAAAAAUGUCUAAGGCUGUAUUGCUCAAGGAUCUAUACUUAGAAAUUGAGAGAAUGAAAGAAGAUGUUCGAGCAGCAAGGGAAAAAAAUGGAGUUUACGUUCCACAUGACAGGUUUGUCCAGGAUGAAGCUGAAAAGAAGGCAAGGAUUGAGAAGAUAGAGCAGUUGGAGAAUGAUCUCAACCUUACUGAGAACCAAGUUGAUAGGUUCCGUGAGCUCUAUCUCACUGAACAGGAGCAGAAACUUGAUAUAGAAAGUGAGCUAAGGGAUUGUAAGUUGAAUCUAGAGAAAAAUAGUAAGGAACUGGUUGAUCUUCAAGAGAAUCAUAAGGUAGCGAUCUCAACACUGAAGAAAAAGGAGUUCCUUAUCUCCAGGUUGUUGUUAUCAGAAAAUUCUUUAAUUGCACGGGCAAAGGAGUUGCGUGGUGAUUUGCAAACUGCAUCAGAGGACAUAAGUUCAUUGUUUGCAAAAUUAGAUCAGAAAGACAAAAUGGAAGCAGAAAAUCAAAGACUAAUUUUGCUAUUUGGUUCUCAUCUCGACCAGAGUUUAAAAGACCUGCACAAGACUAUCCUUGGUUCAGUCUCUCAACAACAACAACAAAUAAGAUGCAUGGAAGAACAUGCCCGAUCAUUUCUUGCUAGUAAAUGUGAUGCAACAGAAAUCUUAGAAUCACGGAUUAACAAAAUGAGAGAGACAUACACUUCAGGGGUAGCAGCAUUGAAGGAACUGGCCAGCACAAUGCAAAGAAAAUCUUCCUCUGACCUAGAGCAUAUAAAUGUUACAAUCUCGUCUCAAACGAUGGCUGUUGAGCAUUUUCUUGCUACUGCCUUAUUGGAGGCAAAGGAAGUUAUUGACCAUAUCCAGAAUUUACUUGAUGAGCAGAAACAGCUGGUAGCUGUAUCCGCUCGACAACAGGAGGAGGGCCUAAAACGAAGUUUGGCUUCAUCCCAAGUAAUUUCAAAGGCAACAGUUGACUUUUUCAAUGACCUCAGUUGUCAUGCAUCCAAGGUCAUGACAGCUCUUCAGGAAAGCCAAGUCAAAAAAAUCCACCAGUUAGCAGAUUUUGAGAAGAUGUUUAAAGAAGAGGCUGCCAGAGAGGAAAAACAAGCAUUUGAAAAUAUUGCAGAAAUCUUAGCAGCAUUGACAUCAAGAAAAACAGCUAUGGUCUCGGAGAUAUCAAGGAACAUUCAGGACUUGACCAUACAAGAAUCUAAGAGAUUUCAGCAAGAAAUGUACAGCAUGCAGCAGGUUUCCUCUGAUGCUAAGGAGGAAAUAAGUAGAUAUGCAGAAAAAGCGCAAAUGCAUUUCAUUGAAGAUACAUUUUCAGUGGCUGAAUCAAGGGUGGCUAUGGAAAAUGUCCACCAGGAAUGCUCAAAGAGGGUUGACUACUCCUGGAAGCAAUGGGGGAAUACCCAAUCAUACAUUAAUAAUUUCAGUAAGAGCAGUGUAGUUGAGAUCGAGUCUGCUGUGAAGGAAAAUAUCAGCGAAAAUCAUGUUGCACAUGAAGAAUUCCUGUCUGCAUCAUCUGCCAUGGAUGUAGAUUUUGAUUCUAGAACUUGUGAUGUGUUGUCCGCUGUUGAUGAUUCACUGAUCCGAGACCAAGAAAGUAAGAAAGAAAUGGAAUCCAUCACCACACUCUGCCUGGAUCAGCUCAAGUCAAUACAAGAGAAACAUGGUCAAAGCAUAGCAUAUGUCAGAAGUGAAGCAGAAAAGUACCUUACAAAAGAUUAUCUGGUUGAUCAACAUUCUGGCGCAACACCUAGAAGGCGAGAUAUACCAGUGCCCAGCUUGGCGUCCAUUGAGGAGAUGAGAACACCUGCUUUAGAAAAUCUAAAAGAAGAGAAGAAAAUAGAGAACGGCUCAAAAUGGGGCCAUAAUGAGAUCAAGGUCUCUCUGCAAGCACAACCUAAUAGAGCUCCUUUUGCUGAUGUUAACUGAAAAGAAUUAUGGAAGUCAGGUUUUACAUGCAAGUCAGGUUUUGCUCAUCAACUGAUGAGUGCACAAACCCAUUGUAAGAAUUUUAGGAUUUUAUUUAAAAUGGUAAAGUCUGAGAUGAUGUCAUUUGCUCAUCCAGAAUUCUGUGUUAGGUUUAAUGUGUCAGACAUUAUUAUAUAUCUAUAAGCAAGUCCACCAUUCCAAUUUUUACUAACCCUACAACUUACUCCAUAGUCUCCUGCAACAUAUAUACUAUUUUGAGACAUAUAUACUAUUUUGAGACAUGUCUGAUAAACUAUUUUUCACAAAA
Molecule: unclassified non-coding RNA, 3670 nt
Filed under: Hevea brasiliensis (rubber tree)
Lineage: Eukaryota; Viridiplantae; Streptophyta; Magnoliopsida; Malpighiales; Euphorbiaceae
Source: RNAcentral